This 71-nucleotide transfer RNA is filed under the name Danio rerio (zebrafish). It matches the Rfam family "tRNA". Rfam says of the family: Transfer RNA (tRNA) molecules are approximately 80 nucleotides in length. Their secondary structure includes four short double-helical elements and three loops (D, anti-codon, and T loops). Lineage: Eukaryota; Metazoa; Chordata; Actinopteri; Cypriniformes; Danionidae. The record is from Rfam by way of RNAcentral.
GCAUUGGUAGUUCAGUGAUAGAAUUCUCGCCUGCCACGUGGGAAACCCGGGUCCGAUCCCUGGCCAAUGCA